RNAcentral lists this ribosomal RNA (459 nucleotides) under uncultured bacterium. Its description in RNAcentral is "partial 16S ribosomal RNA". It matches the Rfam family "Bacterial small subunit ribosomal RNA", at positions 338 to 795 of the family's 1533-position model. The record is from RNAcentral.
CCUACGGGGGGCUGCAGUGAGGAAUAUUGGUCAAUGGCCGGGAGGCUGAACCAGCCAAGUCGCGUGAGGGAAGACGGCCCUACGGGUUGUAAACCUCUUUUGUCAGGGAGCAAGGUGCAGGUCGGGACCUGCUGUGAGAGUACCUGAAGAAAAAGCAUCGGCUAACUCCGUGCCAGCAGCCGCGGUAAUACGGAGGAUGCGAGCGUUAUCCGGAUUUAUUGGGUUUAAAGGGUGCGCAGGCGGAGGCAAAAGUCAGCGGGAAAAUCGUGGGGCUCAACCCCGCUCCGCCGUUGAAACGGUGUCCGUGGAGUACAGGAAGGGUGGGCGGAAUGCGUGGUGUAGCGGUGAAAUGCAGAGAUAUCACGCAGAACUCCGAUCGCGAAGGCAGCCUACCGGCGCGCAACUGACGCUCAUGCACGAAAGCGUGGGUAUCGAACAGGAUUAGAUACCCGAGUAGUC